Long non-coding RNA from Camelus dromedarius (Arabian camel), 1090 nucleotides. RefSeq lists it as uncharacterized. The record is from RefSeq and is a predicted model, not a curated record. NCBI's taxonomy places the organism in Eukaryota, Metazoa, Chordata, Mammalia, Artiodactyla, Camelidae. The transcript is spliced from 3 exons.
AUGAACAUAUUUAGAAAUCUCUGUGUCAUGAUUUAUAUUUUAUCUCAUUUAAUUUUUUUGCCAGAAGUCUAACAGGAAAUUACUACUUUUCUCUUUGUGAAACGAGGGAGGCUUGAGCAAGGCGUAUGUGACUCAUCAAAGUUCCAUAGCCAGGACACGGAAGCCUCCGGAUUUGAGCCCAGGUCCCUUGGACACCAAAGCCCCGGCCGAUUCCUCUGCAUCAUGCGCGUGCCAUUUUCUGCGUUACCCCUGGAUAACAAGCUGACCAAACCUCACCUUCUCCUUCUCCCCACGGACCAAAGCCCAGGAGCUGGAAAUGGACAUGCUUAAAAAACAAGACUUUGGUGAAUUGUUUUCCUGCCAGUGACUGGUGGAAGGAACUGGACUCAUGUUUACCAGCAAGCAGGUCCAGGAUGGGAGGAUACGCUACACACUGAACGUAUGCAGGAAAAGCAGGAGUUUCGAUCCAGAGAUGAUGGGAAGAGCACAGCCUCUGAGCAUCUGCAGAAAUCGCGGGCACUUUUCAAGACUCCCACAAGCUACGGAAGGUAAAGCCUGAGACAGUCUUAUCUUGAUUAUCAAGGAGAGGGGGACCCCAGCUGACAUAUGGGUUCCAUUAUGGGGACGGGUUUUUGUUACACUGGCAUCGGGAAUUAAGCUAAUCUCCUUCUAUCGGACUUUGUCCGUCUCUGGGGGAUAUUUUGUGGAAGAAGGUAAGCCCUGGGACAUAGCCACACGUGGGUGACAAGAAGUGAUUUUAGGACUCAGUUUUCCUCCUCGUGUUCUGACGCCUAAUGAAGAUUUGACUUCCGGGGCAAAACCCCUCCUCCCUACCACACCCUCCCGACACACACAGAGAACAAACCUUAGUCACCACUUCCACGUCUAGCCUGAUCUGAAUUCAGGUGAAGCCCUGAACUGCCUCCUGUGCGGGUGGAAACAUGAUCCCCCUCCUCUGGGGGGCUCCGUGCUUGGAACCGUUUCCCCCACCCUAAUUCCCCUGUCGCGGGCCUUGUUGGCUGCCUUAGCCCUGGGUUAUCCUUACGGCCAGCCCCUCCUCUCCAAAGAGGGGCUUUGUUUCCUCCUCCAC